UCCAGAGAUGGAUUUGUGCCUUCGGGAACUGUGAGACAGGUGCUGCAUGGCUGUCGUCAGCUCGUGUUGUGAAAUGUUGGGUUAAGUCCCGCAACGAGCGCAACCCUUAUCCUUUGUUGCCAGCGGUCCGGCCGGGAACUCAAAGGAGACUGCCAGUGAUAAACUGGAGGAAGGUGGGGAUGACGUCAAGUCAUCAUGGCCCUUACGACCAGGGCUACACACGUGCUACAAUGGCGCAUACAAAGAGAAGCGACC
RNAcentral lists this ribosomal RNA (255 nucleotides) under Salmonella enterica subsp. enterica serovar Infantis. Its description in RNAcentral is "partial 16S ribosomal RNA". It matches the Rfam family "Bacterial small subunit ribosomal RNA", at positions 999 to 1254 of the family's 1533-position model. Lineage: Bacteria; Pseudomonadati; Pseudomonadota; Gammaproteobacteria; Enterobacterales; Enterobacteriaceae. The record is from RNAcentral.